This 468-nucleotide ribosomal RNA is filed under the name uncultured bacterium. RNAcentral describes it as "partial 16S ribosomal RNA". It matches the Rfam family "Bacterial small subunit ribosomal RNA", at positions 39 to 507 of the family's 1533-position model. The record is from RNAcentral.
GGGGGGGGGGGGGGGGGGGCGUGGGGCGUGCGGGGCGGGCGGGGGGGCGGUGGGUUUGGGGGGUGCGCGGGUGGCGAGCGGGUGGGGGGCACGUGAGUAACCUGCCCUUGACUGUGGGAUAGCUUCAGGGCGCUGGGGCUACUACCGGAUAGGGGCGCCGGCUGCAUGGUGGGGGUUGGAGAGUUUCGGCUGUUGGGGAUGGGCUCGCGGCUUAGCGGCUUGUUGGUGGGGUAGUGGCGUACCAAGGCUUUGACGGGUAGCCGGCCUGAGAGGGUGACCGGCCACAUUGGGACUGAGAUACGGCCCAGACUCCUACGGGAGGCAGCAGUGGGGAAUAUUGCACAAUGGGCGGAAGGCUGAUGCAGCAACGCCGCGUGCGGGAUGACGGCCUUCGGGUUGUAAACCGCUUUCGCCUGUGACGAAGCGUGAGUGACGGUAAUGGGUAAAGAAGCACCGGCUAACUACGUG